This 478-nucleotide ribosomal RNA is filed under the name uncultured bacterium. RNAcentral's name for it is "bacterial SSU rRNA". It matches the Rfam family "Bacterial small subunit ribosomal RNA", at positions 328 to 793 of the family's 1533-position model. The record is from RNAcentral.
UGACAGUACUCCUACGGGGAGGCAGCAGUGGGGGAAUAUUGCACAAUGGGCGCAAGCCUGAUGCAGCCAUGCCGCGUGUAUGAAGAAGGCCUUCGGGUUGUAAAGUACUUUCAGCAGUGAGGAAGGUGGGGUAUGUUAAUAGCAUAUUCAUUUGACGUUAGCUGCAGAAGAAAGCACCGGCUAACUCCGUGCCAGCAGCCGCGGUAAUACGGAGGGUGCGAGCGUUAAUCGGAAUUACUGGGCGUAAAGCGCAUGCAGGUGGUUUGUUAAGUCAGAUGUGAAAGCCCGGGGCUCAACCUCGGAAUUGCAUUUGAAACUGGCAAACUAGAGUACUGUAGAGGGGGGUAGGAAUUUCAGGUGUAGCGGUGAAAUGCGUAGAGAUCUGAAGGAAUACCGGUGGCGAAGGCGGCCCCCUGGACAGAUACUGACACUCAGAUGCGAAAGCGUGGGGAGCAAACAGGAUUAGAUACCCUGGUAG